GCAGCCGCGGUAAUACGUAGGUGGCAAGCGUUGUCCGGAAUCAUUGGGCGUAAAGGGAGCGUAGGUGGAACUUUAAGUCGGACUUAAAAGUGCGGGGCUCAACCCCGUGAUGGGUCCGAAACUGGAGUUCUUGAGUGUAGGAGAGGAAAGCGGAAUUCCCAGUGUAGCGGUGAAAUGCGUAGAUAUUGGGAGGAACACCAGUGGCGAAGGCGGCUUUCUGGACUAUAACUGACACUGAGGCUCGAAAGCCAGGGGAGUGAACGGGAUUAGAUACCCC
Molecule: ribosomal RNA, 277 nt
Filed under: uncultured bacterium
Lineage: Bacteria
Description: partial 16S ribosomal RNA
Rfam family: Bacterial small subunit ribosomal RNA
Source: RNAcentral